AUUGCAGGCUGCAACUCGCCUGCAUGAAGCUGGAAUCGCUAGUAAUCGCGGGUCAGCAUACCGCGGUGAAUGUGUUCCUGAGCCUUGUACACACCGCCCGUCAAGCCACGAGAAUUGGGGGGGCCCGAAGUCGCUGAGCUAACCGUAAGGAAGCAGGCGCCGAAGGUCAACUUGAUGAUUGGGACUAAGUCGUAACAAGGUAGCCGUAGGGGAACCUGCGGCUGGAUCACCUCCUUU
Molecule: ribosomal RNA, 237 nt
Filed under: Planctomycetota bacterium
Lineage: Bacteria; Pseudomonadati; Planctomycetota
Description: Planctomycetes bacterium (mine drainage metagenome) partial 16S ribosomal RNA
Rfam family: Bacterial small subunit ribosomal RNA
Source: RNAcentral